Molecule: long non-coding RNA, 1922 nt
Organism: Carcharodon carcharias (great white shark)
Lineage: Eukaryota; Metazoa; Chordata; Chondrichthyes; Lamniformes; Lamnidae
Exons: 3
Source: RefSeq, a predicted model, not a curated record
UGCAGGAAGAGAGAAAAUAUUAGCUGCUUUGAAGUCUAAUGGAACUGACAGGACCAGACAGCAUUGAUUAAUGUCGAGAGGAUGUUGGUUACAGAACACUGCCUCUAAAAGAAGUCUUUGUAGUCUUCAGUAAGUUAAAUGCAAGUCUUUAUUAACUAUUUGUAAUUAUAUACAUAUAUACAGUAAAGGGUACAGUUAAAGAGCUUUUGCCAUCUCACUGCAUGUGGGCACAGACUGCUUCAAUAUCUAAUGAGUCAUGAAUGGUGCUGAACAUUGUGCAGUGAACAUCCCGACCUUAUGAUGUGGGGAAGGUCAUUGAUGAAGCAGCUGGAGAUAGUUGGGCCUAGGACACUGCCCUGAGGAACUCUUGCAGUGAUGUCUUGGGACUGAGAUGACUGACCUCCAACAACUCACAGUGAAUACUAAUGGCUGGAACUUUUCAUUGCAGGAUCAGGUGCACGGCUGACUGGACCUUGCCUGAAAUUGCGUGAGAAAACAUUGGGCGCGUGUCCCAAAAUCAUCAUGCCGUUGGACCAGAUUACACUUGGCGGAUGUCCGUGGGAGUUGGAAACGCGCCCGCCAACAAUUAAAUGGGCAAUUACAAAGCCGGCAAUAAAACCGACCUGUAUUGCACUCCUCACUUUCCUUCAAGUGAAUGUUCUUCACUUGAUUGGCACCCCAUCCACCAUCUUCAACAUCCACUCCCUCCAACACUGACGCACAGUGGCAGCAAUGAGAACCACCUACAAGAUGCAAAGCAGCGUCUCACCAAGACUCCUUUGACAGCCUCAAACCUGCAACCUCCACCACCUAGACGGACAAGAGCAGCAGGUUCUUGGGAACACAACCGUUCCCCUUCAAGUCACCAACCACCUCAACUUGGAACUAUAUCACCGUUGGCUGGGUUCAGAUCCUAGAACAGCCUGUUCAGUAGCACUGUGAGUGUACCUACACCACAUGGACUGCAGCGGUUCAAGAAGGCUGCUCACCACCACCUUCUCAAGGGAAGUUAGGGAUAGGCAAUAAACGCUGGCCUUACAAACCAUACUUGCCUAAGCAGAAAAUAAGCUCCUUUCUGUUUUUUCUAGGGGCCAUACCUUUCCCUUAGGGGCCCUUAAGAAGAUUUUCAUGACCAAUGUUCCAAUGAAUUAAUUCAUGACACUGAUUGCAAUCAAGUUUCCCCUGGUCGAAUGAACAUGAAAUGAAAGACCUGUGCUUUAAUUCAAUUUUAAGAUUGGUUUGAGAAAACUGUUGCUAAAUCCAAGCGUAACAAGCUAUCGCUGGACCAAAAAUAUUAAACUCAUUAAUGAAGGUGCUGCACUCCUGCCAAAAACAUCCCUGCUAAAGAUUCCUCCUGUCCACAGUAAAUUCCAAGGUGUGGAUUCAGUUUAUGGUCAUCUAUGUAUAACCUGGGUAAAACUAGAUACAGUGAAUUAACCAUUUGGGCAAUAGGAAAAUAAAGUGAGACCCCACGGUUUCUGAAAUUCUCAGGCUUCUCUCUGUAAUUCUAAUCCUUUUGUAUGUGCAGAGAGUUGAUAGCUGGAAACACAGCUGUGGCAAUGCACAGAGAAAAUGUCACAAGAACAUAUUAGUGUCACAUCCAAAACAUCAGCAAGAUAUUCACUCAACAUUAUCAGCCCACUGCCAGGAAUGAUAGAGGUAAGGGAAAAUGACUGGUUGGACCCAGAAAUCGUUUGCCAAGGGGAGCAUUGAGGCAGAGAACAUUGCAUAUUUUAAGGGAAAAUUGCACAAGUAUUGAAAAUUACAAGAAUGUGGGAGAAAACAUGGUAAUGAAAUUAAUUUUAGAUUGGCCUAGCAAAGGGCAAGUAUAGACACAAUGGGUCAAAUGGCCUUCUUCUGUGCCAUAGAUUUCCAUGAUACUAUUACCACUUGUGAAGUUACAAAUGUUUCUCUCCUUCUGA